Long non-coding RNA from Etheostoma spectabile (orangethroat darter), 276 nucleotides. RefSeq lists it as uncharacterized. The transcript has 3 exons. Lineage: Eukaryota; Metazoa; Chordata; Actinopteri; Perciformes; Percidae. The record is from RefSeq and is a predicted model, not a curated record.
UGCGUUCCGUUUGUACUCGGAACUGGGAUUAUCCAAGGUCAAAGUCGGAAAGACGCCCCCCUGAACUCGGAUUUUCGAGCUUGAAACUCGGGCAACCACCGAGUGCCCCAAGCUCAAAAUCCAUCAAUGCUGCGCUGUGCAUCAACAGUUUUGCAAGCUGUAGAAACAUACAGUUCUAAGCACUUCUGUGUUAUUUGUAUCUCACUAAAUCAGUCGUACACACAGUACUGUCCAACUUCUAUCUGUGGACAUGUUGCUACGCUCUUAAUGUAGUGC